This 569-nucleotide ribosomal RNA is filed under the name uncultured bacterium. Its description in RNAcentral is "partial 16S ribosomal RNA". It matches the Rfam family "Bacterial small subunit ribosomal RNA", at positions 355 to 914 of the family's 1533-position model. The record is from RNAcentral.
UGGGGAAUAUUGGACAAUGGGCGCAAGCCUGAUCCAGCAAUGCCGCGUGUGUGAAGAAGGCCUUCGGGUUGUAAAGCACUUUUAUCAGGAGCGAAACGCUGUCGGCUAAUACCCGGCGGAACUGACGGUACCUGAGGAAUAAGCACCGGCUAACUUCGUGCCAGCAGCCGCGGUAAUACGAAGGGUGCAAGCGUUAAUCGGAAUUACUGGGCGUAAAGCGUGCGUAGGCGGUUUCUUAAGUCUGCUGUGAAAUCCCCGGGCUCAACCUGGGAAUGGCAGUGGAUACUGGGAGGCUAGAGUGUGUCAGAGGGUGGUGGAAUUCCCGGUGUAGCGGUGAAAUGCGUAGAGAUCGGGAGGAACAUCAGUGGCGAAGGCGGCCACCUGGGACAACACUGACGCUGAGGCACGAAAGCGUGGGGAGCAAACAGGAUUAGAUACCCUGGUAGUCCACGCCCUAAACGAUGCGAACUGGAUGUUGGUCUCAACUCGGAGAUCAGUGUCGAAGCUAACGCGUUAAGUUCGCCGCCCUGGGGAGUACGGUCGCAAGACUGAAACUUAAAUGAAUUGAC